AGUAAACCAGGCAGUCGCGGUCGAGGGCCGAAAGGCUCCGUCCGAGGAAAGUCCGGGCUUCACAGAGCGAGGAUAACGGCUAACGGCCGCCGGGGGCGACCCUAGGGAAAGUGCAACAGAAAAUAACCACCGUGAUUUUCACGGAACGGGUGGAAAGGCGAGGUAAAAGCUCACCAAGAUGAGGGAGACCUCAUCGUUGUGUAAACCCUAUCCGAAGCAACACCGCGGAGGGACAGAAGGCCUGCUCGGCUGUCCCGUGGAGGUGGCACCGAGCCGACGCGGCAACGCGCGGCCAAGAUAGAUGACUGCCCAAUACAGAACCCGGCUUACAGAUUUACUCU
Molecule: RNase P RNA, 341 nt
Filed under: uncultured Ruminococcus sp.
Lineage: Bacteria; Bacillati; Bacillota; Clostridia; Eubacteriales; Oscillospiraceae
Description: Bacterial RNase P class A
Rfam family: Bacterial RNase P class A
About the family: Ribonuclease P (RNase P) is a ubiquitous endoribonuclease, found in archaea, bacteria and eukarya as well as chloroplasts and mitochondria. Its best characterised activity is the generation of mature 5'-ends of tRNAs by cleaving the 5'-leader elements of precursor-tRNAs.
Source: RNAcentral